GAUGAACGCUGGCGGCGUGCCUAAUACAUGCAAGUCGAACGCUGGAAAUCUAGCUUGCUAGAUUGAAGGAGUGGCGAACGGGUGAGUAAUACAUAAGCAACCUACCCACGAAGACUGGGAUAAUCUCUGGAAACGGGGACUAAUACCGGAUAGGUAAUCGGAAGGCCUCUUCUGAUUAUUAAAGGUUAAAAACACUGGUGGAUGGGCUUAUGGCGCAUUAGUUAGUUGGUGAGGUAACGGCCCACCAAGACGAUGAUGCGUAGCCGGCCUGAGAGGGUGAAACGCCACAAUGGGAACGAGGCACAGGCCAGACUCCUACGGGAGGCAGCAGUAGGGAAUUUUCGGCAAUGGGGGAAACCCUGACCGAGCAACGCCGCGUGAGUGAUGACGGCCUUCGGGUUGUAAAGCUCUGUUGUAAGGGAAGAACGGUAGAUAGAGAAUAUCUAAAUGACGGUACCUUACCAGAAAGCCACGGCUAACUACGUG
RNAcentral lists this ribosomal RNA (486 nucleotides) under uncultured bacterium. RNAcentral describes it as "partial 16S ribosomal RNA". It matches the Rfam family "Bacterial small subunit ribosomal RNA", at positions 28 to 507 of the family's 1533-position model. The record is from RNAcentral.